Pieris napi is the source of this 381-nucleotide long non-coding RNA. RefSeq lists it as uncharacterized. The record is from RefSeq and is a predicted model, not a curated record. The transcript is spliced from 3 exons. Lineage: Eukaryota; Metazoa; Arthropoda; Insecta; Lepidoptera; Pieridae.
CAACAUUCAGUAAGCGCAACGUCUUUCUUAACUGGGAUCUGUGCAACAGACUGGUUCUUGCCCUUGCGUUAUUCAAAAUGAUGAAAGGCGAGCGUCUUGGAACGAGUUAAUUGGCAAAACUUAAUUAAAAACAAAUUGAGAAAUUCAAUUAUAAGAGAUCCGAACGUUGUUAUUCAAUAUCGAGAAUGAGAUUCGUUGGAGUUUUUAUUUUAUUUAUGGCUGUUUUCUGUGUACAAUCACAGGUUCCAUAUGACUAUCCACCCAUAGGACGAGAGGCAAGGAGAGAUGCGUUGAAACCUCAUCCAUCUGAUGUAAACCUUAUUUAUGAGAGGUUGUUCCCUUCACGACGCAAAUAUGCAGAUUAAAGUUAUUUUGCUUUUA